AGAAUGACUUAGAUCCAGUGUGCAGGGCCUCUGGCACAGACACCACAUGCAGCACGUGCCCUAGACUAGCCCUACGGACCACAUGCAUCCCACUACAGACCAGCCCUGUGCACUAUGUGUAGUACAUGCCAGCCUCAGCCCUGUGCAGCAUGUGGCACAUGAGGCCAGUCCAGGAUCUCAUACUGCACCUGGGGCGGAUCCAGCACUAUGAGGCCAGUCUGGUGUGAGUGCCAUAGGCAGAAUACACCUGGGAUCAGCCCCAUGUGCUGUGUAAUGGCUCCAGCCCUGUGCAUCAUGUGCAGCUUGUGCCAGAUAAGCUACAUGCUCCCUGUAUAGUACAAGAGGUCGGAGGCUGGGGCCAGCAUGUACUGCAUGCGGUGUGUGGGGCUGAUCUAAGACCCACAAACAACACCAUGGGCCAAAUGAUAGGACUCCACCGGCUGUAUCUUUGACACCCCUGACCUAGCACAAUGGACCAUGAUGUUAUUGAAGGCCUUUAGGCACUGCUCUAAUAUAAAUAAACAACAACAACAACAACAAAAUGGUCUGGGUUUAAGACUGGAAGAUACAGAAUGUAAAUCCUGAUAAGGAACUACAAGCAAUGCCCAGACACGUGAGCAAUGCCCAGACUAAAUUACUCAAAUCACGGCAUUUGAAACUACAGUUAACCAAAAGGUAGUGUGUUGCUGUAGGCUCAGCUGAAAAAUCUUAUCUGUUUUACUAACAACUGGAGCCGAUUUAAAUUUCAGCCACUUGUCCUGAAUCAGUAGUAGAGGACAUUUGCUGUGGAAGUUUUGAGAUCACACCAGCUACCCAUGAUUUGCUGACAUCACCUGCAGUGGCAAUGAUAAAUGCCAGACCACCACUGUGUAAUCUCAACGUUAUACAGACUUCAUUACUCACUAUCGCUCUUUCAAGUGGUUAAGUAGAUCCUGCAAGGGUGUGUGAGUAUCAAAAACUUUACAUUAAUGUAGGAUAUGUAAGAGAAGGGGAAGGAACAUUUACAUUUCAGGUUUUUUUCUUCUUUUUUUUUAAUGUUAUUAUAUUUUAGUCUUGAUUCUUUCUUCAUUUUCCUCCAGUCCUCACCUCCACUACAUGGCUUAUUAUAUUCAGCUCCAGCUCUUCCCACUGACCCUAAAUCUUUUUCUUCUACCUUUCUAACAGAAUUUGCAAAGGUGAUCCCUUUUCCAAGGUAAGCAGCAUUUUGGAACCCAACAAUGGAGUCAGAAAUAUUGCAAAAUCCUAAACAGAAACUGGUUUGUUUUUACGUGCUCACUUUUGAAUCAAGGUGUAAUGUCAUAUUUAAAUGUCCAUUCUAGAUUCAUUACCAGUGAAAACAGAAUCACUGUAUUUUCAAGAGGCUGCACCAUUGUGAAGCUUUUUUUACUUUUGCUGUGUGUGUCUUUGCUACCUUCUGAUAUUCAGUUAUGUCCCUUCUCUGUUGCCUCUCUACUAAGCAAAGAUCUUCAGCUACUUCAGUGUUCUCUUAUAUAUGUCCUAUCACUCGAGUCACUUUGUGACCUCUGCAGCACUUCCGGAACUCACAGUCAGAGAAGGUACUUCACAAGCAUGAAAAGUCUACAAAAAUAGUUAGAUCCUAGACAGGACUUUGAGGUGUGAUUUUUUUCACUCUGAUUUGGUUGAAAAUAGGAUUUUCUCCUAUUUUUUGCCCCACUGUGCCCCACUUUCCUGUCCCCACCCUGGUAUAUUUACACAGGCUAAUCAUUACAUACAAAGUAAGAGUUGUUCACAGUCCAGUAAUAUAUAAGCAUUCAUGUUUUUAGUCUCAUGCAAUAAGUUACAGCUGAAAUAUUAACAAGCCAGAAGUACACACAUUAAUAAAUUACAGGGAUGAUAUUAAUACUGAUGUUGUACAAGGAUCUCCAAUUAUAGAUAGGGAGAUAAUGGUACCCAAAUCUGAUGAGUAGAGCAGCACUUUCUGUUGCUAAGUAAUCACUACCAGUGAAGUGAAUUAGCCAUUAGUAGGACUCAAGCAUAUCUGUGGACUCUGGGUUUCUCCUCAGGGACAGGUAGACAAUGAGGCAAUCAGCCCAUAUCCCUCUUCCCCUAUGAGUGCGAGUUUUCUGGCAAAGAAUGUAUGAAAGCAGGAAAGAAAAAUAACUCAUUGCUUCAAAAUGCCCCGAUUCAAUGGAAGGACAACAUGUCUAAUACUACCAUCAAAUAAUUUAAUUAAAAUAUUGUUUCCUGGGUGAAAAGUCUGAUAGUUUAAAUCAACACAGAGCAGUAAGAAUAUAGAGGUGCUGUCCUGCAAGCCAUUCACAUACCCACUCCUUUAUCCUUCCUGUACCUAACUUUAAAUAGACUCCUAAGUACAUACGAAUUCUGCAUUGGGCACAUGGGAUGGGGAUGUCUCUGAAUUCCGCCUUGGUUCAUCUCUUGCCUGUACCAGCCAGGCCUCUAUGAAUAAGAGGUGCCCUCAAAUCUGUCUCCUUACUCUAGUUCUGAGACACUGGCUCCUAGAAAUGAGACGCAACAUUUUCCAUAGUGCUUUACAUUACAAAACACUGUACAAACAUUAGCCACAAUACUAUUCAGCCCCUGGAGGGUCCAUUUUUUCUCACUUGUUAGCAUGACAAAGACAAAAACUGAAACAGCUUGUGUGGGAGCAAGAGCUGUGUAAAAUGGCAAGAGGCAACAUGUCUUUCUCACUACAGCUCAGCUUUUCAGAUUUACUUCAUCUAUGCCAUUUCCCUGACUCCUUUACUCUGCUCUUCAGUAGUACCAGUGUAACUAAUACCCCUUUCCUGGAGGCUAUGUUGGUACUUCAGAGAAUGGGCUAUUAGUCACUUUUAGUGAUAAGCUUGCUUUUAUAGCACAGUGAGAAAGAGCACAGAGUAGCAAGGGAACACCCCUGAAGUCAGGAGAAAGAGAAUUUUGAAUUGCAUUCUGUCGUGACAGAGGCCUCUGGCAUGUGCAUGACUGGCAUGUGUUGUCACUCUCAACUGGGAGAAGUGAGAACUGCAGGCUAAUGUUAAGAAAAAUGAGUCUGAAUUAAUGGACAGCAGAGCAAAUUAUUAUAAGGUUUUUUACAAGGGACUUGUAGUCCAAACCUUAUUUUUUUUUAAAUAAUGGAGGCAUUUGGGAAUACUGACUAUUAAGCAGACUUGGGAUACACCUAAACUGCAGACUGUACCAGGCUGAAGCAGAAUGAGCUUUGUCAGUGCCCUGGACAGAGUGCAGACCACCGGAGAGCAGGGGGAAGGGGGGUGGGCAGUGGGGAAGGUGUCUAACCUGCCCUAAGUCUCUCUGCACCAUAGUGACUGCUGCUGCAGCUGAGAAGCUCACGGCAUGCCAACUGCAGCAGGGGGCACCAGAAUGCCCCCCUCCCCACCCCGGGAGUCUUUGCUGUGGCUGGCACAGCCCAGUCACAAAAGCCAGACACAGCCUCAUGCCCAGUCGUAUAUGCGGAGAAGGCGUCAAGAAGAAUGGUAUCUAUCCCCCUCAGGAUUUUUGCCAUGGGAGGUGCAGCUCCUCACCCCAAGUCAAUAGCCAGGGCCCGCACCAGUUACACUACUGACACCACAGUCUACUGCAGUGAGCAGAUAUACACAGGCUAACUUUAAAUAAGCUAGUUCAGGCACCAGAAGCAGUCUGCUCAUAACAACACAGCUCCGUGUGAGUUAAUUAAACCUGCUUCUUGGCACACGUAUAACAGGGUAGAGAAGCUCUACCUGGAACCCCUGUUCUUCUUGCCAAGGUAAAUGAGCCCCUGUUGAGCUCUGUGUUGCUGCAUUAAAGCCGCCUCAUGGUCUCAGGGGUAUAGGUUAUAGCCGUGUUGGUCUAAGGACAUAGCCAGACAAGGUUCUUUGAGUAAAUCUGCUAUCUUUUAUUAGACCACCUAAACUAGUUGGAAAAAUUAUUUCCAGUUAGUUUCGGUGGUCUAAUAAAAGAAAAUAAUAGAAAGAAGUUUUCCAAUUAGUUUAGGUGGUAUAAUAAAACAUAAUCAGAUCUACCCAAAGAACCUUGUCUACCUCACAGUCUCCACACUAUGCUGCAGUGCUCUUCCACUCUAAGUCAGUGGUCUCCAACCUUUCUAAGGAGGAGAUCACCUUUGGCAUUUAAAAGCCACUCAAGAUCUACCAUGUGCUGCCACCUGCCCCCCCACCCAGCAGGUAAGUCUGUGGGGAGGGAAGUGGAAGGCAUAUCAAGGCAGAGGGAGAAAAAAUUAUUUGGGGGCAUGCCUCCCCAGCAGGGAAGUCUGUUCGCACCCCUUCCCUCCCCCAUGCACUGACCUGCUGGGCUGGUGGUGAGGCGCGUGCAUGCAUGCACCCGGGCACUCAGCAUCCCACUGCAGCCUCAGAUCGACUCCAAGAGGCUCCGAGAUCUACCAGUACAUAAAGAUCCACCGGUUGAUGACCACUGCUCUAAGUGCUUCAAAGAACUGACACAGGCUCCUAAAUCAGUUAGGCGUUUUUGAAACAUGGAUCGCAGUGUGCAGAUCUAACUGCCGGUCGACCCCAAUGUAACAAAGUCCAUUUUAAAUAAUUUAAACUGGUGCUAGUUCCUAAUGGAUGCAUGUUUCAAUCAGCCUUAGAUAGUUCAAAUCAAUCAGAAACCAAUUUGGUAAUUUACUAACGUAAGAGAUUAAACAGUUUAAAGGUAUCUACUCUACAGGAUUUCACUGGUUUAACUGGAAUGAAAAAUAAGUUCUUGAAACAGGCAAAACUUUUCUAGUAUAGCAAGCCCACAGCCUUACUCAGGACAAUGUUUCUUCCUUUCUAAAGAACAAAGCCAAGUUGAAAAUGAUAUGACAGUGGAUACCACGUUCAUUCUAGCAUUGAAUUACUGGAACAUCUCAGGAUAUUCAAUAAAGUAAUCAGGAGUAAAGAAAGAAAAGUCUCUUCUCCUUGAUUUAAAUGAUCUUCUUUCGGUAAGGAGGAACCUCUGGGGUUAGGCAAUAUUACUGUGAAUGGGUCUAGACUUUACACAGGCAUGGGUCACUAAUUUAAUUAGAUUUCAAAGAAACUAUUCUACAUUUACACUGAAUACAAUACUUCCUGUGCCCUCCCUCACACUAACAAGAAUAAAACAAUCCCACAGAAGUUUACACUUCAAUGCUUGAGGAAGCAAUAACAAAGUCAGUAUACAUACAAUAACUUUAGUCACAGACUGGUUUCAUGUUGUGGAGGUCAUUAGUGAGACCUUAACUACUUGACAAACUGCCAUGCUAGGCAAACAAAACAAUAAUUAAUCUUGCUCUUGUUAGACAGCUGGGUUUCCGCAUAGCACAACUUGCUCAGAAAAAGUGGCAACUGUAUCAGAAUCAAUAUUUUUGGCAAUACAAUUAAACUCAACAACUUUGAAAAACAAUACAAAUUAAUUUCAGUCUACUGAGACUGAGUCAACAUCGCUUCUUGGCCUCCUGCAGGCUCAGAUCAAGUGUAUUUUCUUAUUCUAUGUCAAUUAAGGUUUUUUUUUUAACCAUUAUCACUCUCAGAAUAUUUGGUCUUCCAAGCUCUCCUUCCAAUCCACAAGAGGGCAAAAAUUUUAUGACACAUUGUUAUCAUUUUGGUAAUGACAGUUUUCUACUAUCCUUAUUAUCUUCCCUCCCCCUCUUCAAGACCACUGCUAGCUUCAUCUGAUUUAGGUACGCAGCUUCAUGGAUUAGCUGGCUGGUGAAGCAGAGUGCCGCAUUUGCUAGAAAACAUCCUAAUACACUGGCUAAGUACAGAGAGUCAAAAAGCCCAAGGCUUAAUUGAUCUAAUCUACCCAGGUUUCUGAGGCUUUGCUGCCUCAGCUGUAUGACAGCCCAGGGUUGGAGCCGCCUGGCUCAGCUGAAGCAGAGGAGCUGGGGUGGAAGUGAGCACACCCUGAGAAGGGGGGAUAACACGGGGCCACAAUACAUCCUGGGAUGCCAAGGGACUGUGACCUAACUUGUUUCAGGAGGGGACCUGGAACAGAUGCUCAAUAGACUAGUCUAACCUAAAGUGAUUCAAUCUGAUACUAAAUCCAUCCAGGUCUAUUUUAAACCAGAUUCUGCCAUUUUGAAACCAGUCUAUGUAAAAUAAACUUCUUUUCUGUUACAGGUUUAGACCAGUUCCCAAUCACAUAUACCAGCUUAUGGGUAACUUCUGUCCCUUGUCACAGUUUCUCUUCAAGUAGCCCAAAGAACUGGCUGACCGUGGUAAUAACUUUUAUUGGGAAUUAAACCUUGUAUACCAGGUAGGAUCAUUUACCUCUGCUUAUAUUACUUACAGCCACACUACAGAAACUAUAAAGGAUGCUGCUGGCCUAAGCAAGCUCACAUCUGUAGGGUUACCCAUACAUUGGUAGCACAGAGGAAAACCUGGUGAAGUCACCAUAAUCAAGCAAAAAAGCAAGGCUCAUGUUUACUACUGAUAUCCAGUCUCAAACUUUAGUAAUCUGAAGCAGAAUAAAAUCUGGACUAGAUCUAAAUUAGCUAAAAAGACAGUCAUUAUCCUUUUGGAGUCCUUAUAGUGGGGGAAAAAAAAUCAAGACCAGUUUGAACCUUAUGUAAAAUUAUAGGAGCAGUCAGUAUGCCAUGGAAGUCCACUUUUGGAUCUACUGCAUGAAUCCAACACUAAAGGAGCUGUCUCUCUUACUCACACUACAGCUCUCCUGUUGGCGAGGGCUGCAGUCCUGCCUUUUUGCAUGAUAGUCAAAUGUCAGCAUUUUCCAAGAAGCAAAAGCAGAGCAGGUAUGAGGGAAAAUGCUGGCACUACCACUGUUCAUAAAGAAAGGACUGCUGGCAGGUGCUUGGCUUUGCCAGCACCAAAUAGUUGUGUUUAUACUACCUGAAAAAAUUAAACAAUAACUGUAGCAUAAUAGAUUUUGUAAAACCACGGCAUGUAGCCAUAAUAGUGUACGAAUUAAAUGCCCUGUUGGCAUCCUUUCCAUCCAAGCCUCUACUGACAAAAUACCACCACCUAUCCUUUUCACAGGCCUUGGAAAAGUCAAUCAACAGUGCAGUUAUAUCCACCUCUAUGAGGCAGUAUAUAUGGAAGAACAACAGCUACUAGCAUACAGAUUACCAGACCUGGUGAAACCUAAUGGGAUGAUGCAUCAAAAAAAAGAGUAGGGGAAGGGAGAGAUAGUUUCUUGAGACUGGGCCACCCGUAUAACUUCAGCAGCUGCAUUCCUUACUAUCAGCUCUUCACUCUGCAACAGGAGAACCACGCAUUUCCACAUGGCCAGCGUAUCGGAAAGACCUGAACAUUUACAAAGAGGGAAAGAAUUUAGAUUUUUGCUCCUCACAAGGCAAAUCAGAACAGUUAUAGAAAUAUGUACUUCUUCAUCUAAAAAUACCAAAAAUGUAAUAAAAAACUCAAAACAGGAA
Molecule: long non-coding RNA, 7318 nt
Organism: Alligator mississippiensis (American alligator)
Lineage: Eukaryota; Metazoa; Chordata; Crocodylia; Alligatoridae
Exons: 3
Source: RefSeq, a predicted model, not a curated record